AAACUUAAAGAAAUUGACGGAAAGGCACCACCAGGCGUGGAACUUGCGGCUCAAUUUGACUCAACACGGGAAAUCUCACCAGACCCGAACAUCUCUAACGAUUGACAGAUUGAAAGCUCUUUCUUAAUGAAGUGGACGGUGGUGCAUGGCGGUUCUUAGUUGGUGGAGUGAUUUGUCUGCUUAAUUGCGAUAACGAACGAGACCUUGACCUACUAAAUAGCUCUACUUGCGAUUGCAGGUAGCUAGCUUCUUAGAGGGACUAUCUAUUACAAGUAGAUGGAAGUUCGAGGCAAUAACAGGUCUGUGAUGCCCUUAG
This 316-nucleotide ribosomal RNA is filed under the name uncultured Saccharomycetes. RNAcentral describes it as "bacterial SSU rRNA". It matches the Rfam family "Eukaryotic small subunit ribosomal RNA", at positions 1140 to 1476 of the family's 1831-position model. The record is from RNAcentral. Lineage: Eukaryota; Fungi; Ascomycota; Saccharomycetes.